RNAcentral lists this ribosomal RNA (742 nucleotides) under Alternaria consortialis. Its description in RNAcentral is "eukaryotic LSU rRNA". It matches the Rfam family "Eukaryotic large subunit ribosomal RNA", at positions 92 to 852 of the family's 3401-position model. The record is from RNAcentral. Lineage: Eukaryota; Fungi; Ascomycota; Dothideomycetes; Pleosporales; Pleosporaceae.
AGUGAAGCGGCAACAGCUCAAAUUUGAAAUCUGGCUCUUUUAGAGUCCGAGUUGUAAUUUGCAGAGGGCGCUUUGGCUUUGGCAGCGGUCCAAGUUCCUUGGAACAGGACGUCACAGAGGGUGAGAAUCCCGUACGUGGUCGCUGGCUAUUGCCGUGUAAAGCCCCUUCGACGAGUCGAGUUGUUUGGGAAUGCAGCUCUAAAUGGGAGGUACAUUUCUUCUAAAGCUAAAUAUUGGCCAGAGACCGAUAGCGCACAAGUAGAGUGAUCGAAAGAUGAAAAGCACUUUGGAAAGAGAGUCAAACAGCACGUGAAAUUGUUAAAAGGGAAGCGCUUGCAGCCAGACUUGCUUGCAGUUGCUCAUCCGGGCUUUUGCCCGGUGCACUCUUCUGUAGGCAGGCCAGCAUCAGUUUGGGCGGUAGGAUAAAGGUCUCUGUCACGUACCUCCUUUCGGGGAGGCCUUAUAGGGGAGACGACAUACUACCAGCCUGGACUGAGGUCCGCGCAUCUGCUAGGAUGCUGGCGUAAUGGCUGUAAGCGGCCCGUCUUGAAACACGGACCAAGGAGUCUAACAUCUAUGCGAGUGUUUGGGUGUCAAGCCCGAGCGCGUAAUGAAAGUGAACGGAGGUGGGAACCCGCAAGGGUGCACCAUCGACCGAUCCUGAUGUCUUCGGAAGGAUUUGAGUAAGAGCAUGGCUGUUGGGACCCGAAAGAUGGUGAACUAUGCUUGAAUAGGGUGAAGC